GAUGAAGAACGUAGCGAAAUGCGAUAAGUAGUGUGAAUUGCAGAAUUCAGUGAAUCAUCGAAUCUUUGAACGCACAUUGCGCCCCUUGGUAUUCCAUGGGGCAUGCCUGUUCGAGCGUCAUUUGUACCUUCAAGCUCUGCUUGGUGUUGGGUGUUUGUCUCGCCUCUGCGUGUAGACUCGCCUCAAAACAAUUGGCAGCCGGCGUAUUGAUUUCGGAGCGCAGUACAUCUCGCGCUUUGCACUCAUAACGACGACGUCCAAAAGUACAUUUUUACACUCUUGAUCUCGGAUCAGGUAGGGAUACCCGCUGAACUUAAGCAUAUCAAUAAGCGGAGGA
Molecule: unclassified non-coding RNA, 337 nt
Filed under: soil metagenome
Description: partial contains 5.8S ribosomal RNA, internal transcribed spacer 2, and large subunit ribosomal RNA
Rfam family: 5.8S ribosomal RNA (bases 1-120)
Source: RNAcentral